This 289-nucleotide small nuclear RNA is filed under the name Podarcis lilfordi (Lilford's wall lizard). It matches the Rfam family "7SK RNA", at positions 1 to 289 of the family's 331-position model. Rfam says of the family: 7SK was discovered as an abundant small nuclear RNA in the mid-70s but a possible function has only recently been suggested. Two independent studies have found that 7SK RNA binds the CDK9/cyclin T complex (known as elongation factor P-TEFb). The record is from RNAcentral. Lineage: Eukaryota; Metazoa; Chordata; Lepidosauria; Squamata; Lacertidae.
GGAUGUGAGGGCGAUCUGGCUGCGACAUCUGUCACCCCAUUGAUCACCAGGGUUGAUUCAGCUGAUCUGGCUGGCUAGGCGAGUGCCCCCUUCCUCCCUCACCGCUCCAUGUGCGUCCCUCCCGAAGCUGCGCGCUCGGUGGAAGAGGACGACCAUCCCAGAUAGAAGGAGUGUACCAUUCUUUGGUCAAGGGUAUACGAUAGCUGUGCUCCCCUGCUAGAACCUCCAAACAAGCUCAAGGUCCAUUUGUAGGAGAACAUAGGGUAGUCAAGCUUCCAUUUAAUGUAAU